Molecule: ribosomal RNA, 523 nt
Filed under: uncultured bacterium
Lineage: Bacteria
Description: bacterial SSU rRNA
Rfam family: Bacterial small subunit ribosomal RNA
Source: RNAcentral
AGAGUUUGAUCCUGGCUCAGAUUGAACGCUGGCGGCAUGCUUUACACAUGCAAGUCGAACGGGGUGAGGGGGCAACUCUUCACUUAGUGGCGAACGGGUGAGUAAUGCAUCGGAACGUGUCCCGCAGUGGGGGAUAACGCCGCGAAAGCGGCGCUAAUACCGCAUACGCUCUGCGGAGGAAAGCGGGGGACCUGAGAGGGCCUCGCGCUAUGGGAGCGGCCGAUGUCCGAUUAGCUAGUUGGUGGGGUAAUGGCUUACCAAGGCGACGAUCGGUAGCUGGUCUGAGAGGAUGAUCAGCCACACUGGGACUGAGACACGGCCCAGACUCCUACGGGAGGCAGCAGUGGGGAAUUUUGGACAAUGGGGGCAACCCUGAUCCAGCCAUGCUGCGUGCGGGAAGAAGGCCUUCGGGUUGUAAACCGCUUUUAGCCGGGACGAAAGCUCUACGGAUAACACCCGUAGGGGUUGACGGUACCGGCGGAAUAAGCACCGGCUAACUACGUGCCAGCAGCCGCGGUAAUAC